This 399-nucleotide ribosomal RNA is filed under the name Salmonella enterica subsp. enterica serovar Typhimurium. RNAcentral describes it as "bacterial LSU rRNA". It matches the Rfam family "Bacterial large subunit ribosomal RNA", at positions 352 to 652 of the family's 2925-position model. Lineage: Bacteria; Pseudomonadati; Pseudomonadota; Gammaproteobacteria; Enterobacterales; Enterobacteriaceae. The record is from RNAcentral.
GCGCGAUACAGGGUGACAGCCCCGUACACAAAAGCGCAUGUGCUGUGAGCUCGAUGAGUAGGGCGGGACACGUGGUAUCCUGUCUGAAUAUGGGGGGACCAUCCUCCAAGGCUAAAUACUCCUGACUGACCGAUAGUGAACCAGUACCGUGAGGGAAAGGCGAAAAGAACCCCGGCGAGGGGAGUGAAAAAGAACCUGAAACCGUGUACGUACAAGCAGUGGGAGCCCCACCACUAAGCCAGUGGUGAACUCCACAUCCGCAUCCUUUGCUGAGGAUACGGUUAACGGAGCGAAAGCGACGUUCAACCGCAAAACAAGCAGAGGGGGCUUAGUGGUGGGGUGACUGCGUACCUUUUGUAUAAUGGGUCAGCGACUUAUAUUCUGUAGCAAGGUUAACCG